CGAGUUCCCAUACGAUCACUGAAGUUAAGCAACGUCGAGCCUGGUCACUAUCUAGAUAGGUGACCGGUUUGGAAUACCAGGUGCUGUAAG
Molecule: non-coding RNA, 90 nt
Organism: Acanthosepion pharaonis
Lineage: Eukaryota; Metazoa; Mollusca; Cephalopoda; Sepiida; Sepiidae
Source: the annotation of a GenBank genome assembly